UGGAAUAGCUUCAGUGAAAUAGCUCUGAGGUCACAGGCAUUUCCCUAAACAACUCUGAGCAUGGGCUGCCCCUGUUCUUUCCAGAGCUGGCACUGGUUGGAGGAGUCCUGGGAACAUGUGAGCCUCAAAAGUCUUUUUUAAGAGAACUGCAACAAUUUAAUGAUAAAGUGUUGGAUUCACAACUGGAAAAAGAGGUGGAUGGUGGUGACAGAGGUGUGCUGUGUGGGAGCCAUACUUGCAGGUUGACAAAGGAGAUUGAACAGACAAAUGAGCACUCCUCUGAAGAAACACUCCCAACCUGGAGAGAAAGAGUUGAUUUAUCAAGGCAUGAAAAAUCAUGAAUAAAAAUUAAAUAUGAAUAUCUUUAAAGUUAA
Oxyura jamaicensis (ruddy duck) is the source of this 374-nucleotide long non-coding RNA. RefSeq lists it as uncharacterized. NCBI's taxonomy places the organism in Eukaryota, Metazoa, Chordata, Aves, Anseriformes, Anatidae. The record is from RefSeq and is a predicted model, not a curated record. The transcript is spliced from 2 exons.